This 311-nucleotide long non-coding RNA is filed under the name Mytilus galloprovincialis (Mediterranean mussel). Lineage: Eukaryota; Metazoa; Mollusca; Bivalvia; Mytilida; Mytilidae. The record is from RNAcentral.
UUUUUGGGUGGAAAUGAAAGAGAGAGGUCAAAUAAAUUUUUGGAGGUUGUAUUUUAACUGAUUUUGAUAUGGAAUGAGUGAUUAGGUCAAGUGCAAAAAGGUGAUAUUUACAGUUUUCGGAACAUCUCUUGACUUGUCAAUAGGGGUAUGGAUGUGUAUUGGCUAAAUUUGUAAAAGUGAUUGCUUCAAUCUUUCUGAAUUUUGGAUAUAUAUUUGGACUAGGACAAUACAUUACACACACAAAAAAUUGGACAAAAGUGCAUGGUGCAAUUUUUUUAAUGAUGCAAAAGGUUAUAAAGAACUGAUAGAGG